GGCAAGGCUGAGGGCAUCUCCGCCAUGGCCUGGGAUCUGCUCUUCCUCACCCUCCUGGCUCACUGCACAGGAACUUUGUCUCAAUUUACACUGACUCAGCCCAGCUCUAUGUCUGGGAAUCCAGGACAGAAGGUGACCAUCUCCUGCAAACGCAGCAGUGGCAACAUUGGAAGCAACUAUGUUUCCUGGUACCAGCAGUACCCAGGCAGUGCCCCCAGGAAUGUGAUCUAUGAUGAUAACAUAAGGCCCUCUGGGGUUCCUGAUCGGUUCUCUGGCUCCAUUGACAGCUCCUCUAAGGCUGCCUCCCUGACCAUUUCUGGGCUGCAGCCUGAAGAGGAGGCCGACUACUACUGCUUUACUGGUCGCACAGUGCUCCAGAUGCAGGGGAAGUGAGACUAAAACUCCCUCAGAGCUCUCCUGUCCUGGAACAACCCUCCAUGCAUACCCCUAAGGGAAGCUUGCUCUGUGUUCUGCUUGGAUUCUUCAGUUGGAAGGUUUUUUGUUUUUACUACUUCUUCUUUUUCUUCGCUUCUCUUUUCUAAUUUUCUCUUCUUUUUUAAAAUUCUAUUUUUUAUUUGUGGUUACAAGGUUGUA
Erinaceus europaeus (western European hedgehog) is the source of this 594-nucleotide non-coding RNA. The record is from the annotation of a RefSeq genome assembly. NCBI's taxonomy places the organism in Eukaryota, Metazoa, Chordata, Mammalia, Eulipotyphla, Erinaceidae.